RNAcentral lists this long non-coding RNA (802 nucleotides) under Olea europaea (common olive). Its description in RNAcentral is "long non-coding RNA (OEUR_LNC007110)". Lineage: Eukaryota; Viridiplantae; Streptophyta; Magnoliopsida; Lamiales; Oleaceae. The record is from RNAcentral.
AUAUUCAUUAAUGGAGAGACUGCCCUGCGUAAAAUUAGUCAACUCAUGUUCCAAUAGAAAUCGUCGAGCCAUGUUGUCCUGUUUGUAAACAUUACUAAGGUAAACCCACAUGAACAUUAACAUAAAGUUUUGAAAACCUAAAAAUAUUCAUUAAUGGAGAGACUGCCCUGCGUAAAAUUAGUCAACUCAUGUUCCAAUAGAAAUCGUCGAUCCAUGUCGUCCUGUUUGUAAACAUUACUAAGGUAAACCCACAUAUCAACAGCAGUUUUUUAAGGCAUCCGAUUGGGAACAAGGUGAAACUUAACUGAACUAGGGUCCAGGUCAUAAUCCAAGCAUGACAAAGCCUCUACAUUUGUAGGAGAGAGAUCACUUCCAUCAAUAUGACCUCAUAACUCUUUUUCUUUGACAAAUAAUUGAAAUUGGAAUUCCCAAGCAUAGUAAUUUUUGCAAUUAAAAUGAAUAUGAAAUGAGUCUUAACUUAUCUAACGACAUGAUGGAAUAAAAUACUCAACUAAAAAAUUGAUUGCAAUAACCACUACAAAUUAACUGUUAUAAAAGGAACCCAGACCAAAAACCACUAAAUUGGCACCUGAAAGAAAAUCCAAACCAUACAGAGAGAGCCGAACGAAAAGGCAAAGAAGCUAAACUCUUAGAGAAACGCUAGAAAUCUACCAAAAACCCAAGAAACUCUUACUUAGCAUGCCAAACUACCGACCAGAGGCUAACGAUAUACACCUAGAUGACCAAGGGAAAAUGCAACCAGAAACCUCAAGAGAAAUAACCAAACAGUUCCACCGGAACC